GAUGAGAUUUAUUUAUUUCUUUUUAAGAAGAAGAUAGUACAUUAUUUCUUUUAUUUAUUUAAUAAAUAAAUUAAAUACUAAUUUUUUCUAACGUAAGUCAUGAAAAAGAGUUUGGUGGUUGAUACAUAAGGCUUUAUAUUCGAAUCCUAGUUGAUUUAUAUUUUUAUUUAAAUUUAUUUCUAGAAGAAAUGAAUGAAAUGUGUAGCAUGCUGACGAUUUCGAAAAAUAUUAAAAACAAUGGAACAACAAAAAAAAGACUUAAAC
This 264-nucleotide long non-coding RNA is filed under the name Ananas comosus (pineapple). Its description in RNAcentral is "long non-coding RNA (ACOM_LNC026914)". Lineage: Eukaryota; Viridiplantae; Streptophyta; Magnoliopsida; Poales; Bromeliaceae. The record is from RNAcentral.